UACGAAGGUCCCAAGCGUUGUUCGGAAUCACUGGGCGUAAAGGGUGCGUAGGCGGCGCGGAAAGUCAGAUGUGAAAGCCCCGGGCUCAACCCGGGAACUGCAUCCGAUACUCCCGCGCUAGAGGAUUGGAGAGGAGUCUGGAAUUCACGGUGUAGCAGUGAAAUGCGUAGAUAUCGUGAGGAACACUCGUGGCGAAGGCGAGACUCUGGACAAUUCCUGACGCUGAGGCACGAAGGCCGGGGGAGCAAACAGG
RNAcentral lists this ribosomal RNA (253 nucleotides) under uncultured bacterium. Its description in RNAcentral is "partial 16S ribosomal RNA". It matches the Rfam family "Bacterial small subunit ribosomal RNA", at positions 524 to 776 of the family's 1533-position model. The record is from RNAcentral.